This 252-nucleotide ribosomal RNA is filed under the name uncultured bacterium. RNAcentral's name for it is "partial 16S ribosomal RNA". It matches the Rfam family "Bacterial small subunit ribosomal RNA", at positions 524 to 776 of the family's 1533-position model. The record is from RNAcentral.
UACGGAGGAUGCGAGCGUUAUCCGGAUUUAUUGGGUUUAGAGGGUGCGUAGGCGGACUGUCAAGUCAGCGGUAAAAUUGAGAGGCUCAACCUCUUCCCGCCGUUGAAACUGGUGGUCUUGAGUGGAUGAGAAGUACGCGGAAUGCGUGGUGUAGCGGUGAAAUGCAUAGAUAUCACGCAGAACUCCGAUUGCGAAGGCAGCGUACCGGCAUCCAACUGACGCUGAGGCACGAAAGCGUGGGGAUCAAACAGG